This 253-nucleotide ribosomal RNA is filed under the name uncultured bacterium. Its description in RNAcentral is "partial 16S ribosomal RNA". It matches the Rfam family "Bacterial small subunit ribosomal RNA", at positions 524 to 776 of the family's 1533-position model. The record is from RNAcentral.
UACGGAGGGUGCAAGCGUUGUUCGGAAUCAUUGGGCGUAAAGCGCGUGUAGGCGGCUUGGUAAGUCGGAUGUGAAAGCCCGGGGCUCAACCCCGGAACUGCAUUCGAAACUGCCUCGCUAGAGUCCCGGAGAGGAAGGCGGAAUUCCCGGUGUAGAGGUGAAAUUCGUAGAUAUCGGGAGGAACACCAGCGGCGAAGGCGGCCUUCUGGACGGUGACUGACGCUGAGACGCGAAAGCGUGGGGAGCAAACAGG